GACGAACGCUGGCGGCGUGCCUAAUACAUGCAAGUCGAGCGGACCGAACAGGAGCUUGCUCUUGUUCGGUUAGCGGCGGACGGGUGAGUAACACGUGGGUAACCUGCCCGUAAGACCGGGAUAACUCCGGGAAACCGGAGCUAAUACCGGAUAACACCGAAGACCGCAUGGUCUUUGGUUGAAAGGCGGCUUCGGCUGCCACUUACGGAUGGGCCCGCGGCGCAUUAGCUAGUUGGUGAGGUAACGGCUCACCAAGGCGACGAUGCGUAGCCGGCCUGAGAGGGUGACCGGCCACACUGGGACUGAGACACGGCCCAGACUCCUACGGGAGGCAGCAGUAGGGAAUCUUCAGCAAUGGACGAAAGUCUGACGGAGCGACGCCGCGUGAGCGAAGAAGGUCUUCGGAUCGUAAAGCUCUGUUGUUAGGGAAGAAGAAGCGUCGUUCGAACAGGGCGGCGCGGUGACGGUACCUAACGAGAAAGCCCCGGCUAACUACGUG
This 499-nucleotide ribosomal RNA is filed under the name uncultured bacterium. Its description in RNAcentral is "partial 16S ribosomal RNA". It matches the Rfam family "Bacterial small subunit ribosomal RNA", at positions 28 to 507 of the family's 1533-position model. The record is from RNAcentral.